CGGGUGAAAAGCCCGCUCGCCGGAAGACCAAGGGUUCCUGUCCAACGUUAAUCGGGGCAGGGUGAGUCGACCCCUAAGGCGAGGCCGAAAGGCGUAGUCGAUGGGAAACAGGUUAAUAUUCCUGUACUUGGUGUUACUGCGAAGGGGGGACGGAGAAGGCUAUGUUGGCCGGGCGACGGUUGUCCCGGUUUAAGCGUGUAGGCUGGUUUUCCAGGCAAAUCCGGAAAAUCAAGGCUGAGGCGUGAUGACGAGGCACUACGGUGCUGAAGCAACAAAUGCCCUGCUUCCAGGAAAAGCCUCUAAGCAUCAGGUAACAUCAAAUCGUACCCCAAACCGACACAGGUGGUCAGGUAGAGAAUACCAAGGCGCUUGAGAGAACUCGGGUGAAGGAACUAGGCAAAAUGGUGCCGUAACUUCGGGAGAAGGCACGCUGAUAUGUAGGUGAAGUCCCUUGCGG
RNAcentral lists this ribosomal RNA (457 nucleotides) under Escherichia coli. RNAcentral describes it as "partial 23S ribosomal RNA". It matches the Rfam family "Bacterial large subunit ribosomal RNA", at positions 1318 to 1776 of the family's 2925-position model. The record is from RNAcentral. Lineage: Bacteria; Pseudomonadati; Pseudomonadota; Gammaproteobacteria; Enterobacterales; Enterobacteriaceae.